UACCAGCUCUCCGAGUGGUGUGGAUGUUUAUUGGGCCUAAAGCAUCCGUAGCUGGCUGGGCAAGUCCCCUGUUAAAUCCACUGAUUUAAUCAUUGGAGUGCGGGGGAUACUGCUCGGCUAGGGGACGGGAGAGGCAGACGGUAUUUUCGGGGUAGGGGUGAAAUCCUAUAAUCCCGGGAAGACCACCAGUGGCGAAGGCUGUCUGCUAGAACGCGCCCGACGGUGAGGGAUGAAAGCUGGGGGAGCGAACCGGAUUAGAUACCCGGGUAGUCCCAGCUGUAAACGAUGCAGGCUAGGUGUUUGGGCGGCCACGUGCCGCUCUAGUGCCGCAGGGAAGCCGUUAAGCCUGCCGCCUGGGGAGUACGGCCGCAAGGCUGAAACUUAAAGGAAUUGGCGGGGGAGCACCACAAGGGGUGAAGCUUGCGGUUU
RNAcentral lists this ribosomal RNA (429 nucleotides) under uncultured archaeon. RNAcentral's name for it is "bacterial SSU rRNA". It matches the Rfam family "Archaeal small subunit ribosomal RNA", at positions 474 to 903 of the family's 1478-position model. The record is from RNAcentral.